GGCCCUGUAGUGAAGUUCAUAGUGAGUUGCAAGCUCAUUGAUGUGCAUAAAUUAUGUACCGGGGCCU
Molecule: transfer RNA, 67 nt
Filed under: Myioborus brunniceps (brown-capped redstart)
Lineage: Eukaryota; Metazoa; Chordata; Aves; Passeriformes; Parulidae
Description: tRNA-Cys
Source: RNAcentral